Molecule: non-coding RNA, 26 nt
Filed under: Homo sapiens (human)
Lineage: Eukaryota; Metazoa; Chordata; Mammalia; Primates; Hominidae
Source: RNAcentral
AGGGAGCAGAGAAAAUAUUGUUGUUG